RNAcentral lists this ribosomal RNA (253 nucleotides) under uncultured bacterium. RNAcentral describes it as "partial 16S ribosomal RNA". It matches the Rfam family "Bacterial small subunit ribosomal RNA", at positions 524 to 776 of the family's 1533-position model. The record is from RNAcentral.
UACGUAGGGUCCGAGCGUUGUCCGGAAUUACUGGGCGUAAAGAGCUCGUAGGUGGUUUGUCGCGUUGUCCGUGAAAACUCACAGCUCAACUGUGGGCGUGCGGGCGAUACGGGCAGACUGGAGUACUGCAGGGGAGACUGGAAUUCCUGGUGUAGCGGUGGAAUGCGCAGAUAUCAGGAGGAACACCGGUGGCGAAGGCGGGUCUCUGGGCAGUAACUGACGCUGAGGAGCGAAAGCGUGGGGAGCGAUCCGG